ACAAGUCGGUUGCUUAAGCAACACCCCAGGAGAACCGGCAGAGGAGACACAAGCAGAAAACUAAACGGGCCAGAUGUGGCGCUGACUAAGCGGGCUCCAGCCCGCUGCAAGACGCGCUGUGCAGGAAGGCCCACAGCCGCCCAGGCGCUGCGACGCCAGCCAGAGCUAAAACACCACUAUAACGACGGGUCCAUGUGUUAGAGCAUGCGUUAGCAUGCGUGCCGCAUGGCCCAAACGCACGCUUAACGCGUGAAAAGCAUGUGCUGUACGCAUGCGGUGCCCGCCCAUACGCAUGCGUGCGCUACCAGAGCAUGCGUUACCUAACGCAUGCUGGUGUUGGCUAGCGGCCGCAGCGACUCUUUCUGGAUGUACGCAUGCGUCCCGAACGCAUGCCAUACGCAUGCUUGAAGCACAUAUGCCGGUUGCGUGAAGUACUACGCAUGCCAUGGCGCAUGCGGGACGCAUGUGCGUUACCUAACGCAAGCAGCUGCCCCCAACUGCACGCUUCCCACCCGCAUGCAUGCACGCACACGUGGGGCACACGAAGCCAAUUCCCUCAACUGCUCAUUUGUGUUAUAGUUCAUGCAACGGCACGUGCCGCGCGUCCAGUGUAAACGAGGAUUCGGCCUGUUUCUCUGAAGGCGUGAGUCCGCCUCCAUCCACCAGCCUCUCCUUAGGCUUUUAGUCCGCCAUCGCACACCCUGGAAAGGAAGUCUGCCCGCUCCACAUGCCCUGUCACCCAUCGACCUCCUCGCUCACCGAACGUGCCCUACCGUAACAUGAAUACAGAUGCGUAUGUAGCCGCUUCCGGGUAACAACCAAAUGCCACCCGCCAAGGCAUAAGCGGCAGAGGUGUGCCCAUACUAAAGUCUUGCCAAACACACAAUGACAACCACAACGUCCGACCUGCUGCACAGUGCUACCGCAGACUCUGCAUGCUGCCGGUGCCGGCACUCCAGUCCGUAGCUAGCCACGGAUGUGCAUGUAGCCACUUCCGCGGAACAACCAAACGCCACCCGCCAAGGCAUAAGCGGCACAGGUGGACCCAUACUAAGUCUUGCCAAACACACACGACCUCAACCACAACGUCCGACCUGCUGCACAGUGCCACCGCAGACUCCGCAUGCUGCCGGUGCCAGCGCUCCAGUCCACAGCUAGCCACACCCGUGCUGCCCUUCGUAAGCCUGCAUAGUGUUCAGGACGAUUCGGUCAGGAACCAAACCACAAAACCAGGUAUAUCAGAGGGUAAGACGCAAGGUACCUUUCCCCCCAUGUUCAGCUGCAGACACGCUACUCAUGCAGUGCUUACUUCAGCAAUAGCGAAAUAAUAUCUGGACAUAGACUUGCCUGUUGGGGUUAACGUGUGAGUGCGCCACGUCUAGCCCACCCAGGGGUGGUCCGCACGGGUGGCCCUUCGUGCGGCCGGAGUCCUGAGGGAGGGCGGGAGGGUAAUACCAGGACUGAGAACUGAGCAUGAACUGAUGACAGGCUUGUACGGUGCCAUUAUACAGACACCUUAGCAUGCGCAUGCUCUCAGCUGACAGCCUCGGAAGCUAGCAACCAAGUCGCGCGGAUGGUACCCCCGCCUCACCUGCGCCACGCGUGAUGGCUCUGUAGCCUUUUGAAAUGCUUUUGUUGAGCCUGAACCUGAACGAAUUGAAGGUGGGCGAUAAAUAUUGCGCUCGGUCAACGACGUCACCACCCCUGCAACAACCCAGCGUUAUAGCCGCUGCAAGGCGCACCUGUGCGCCACAUAGCGUUACUAGUGGAGACUGGGCCUUAAAAGCAAACAUAGCAGGGCGAGGGCGUCCUCUGCCGAGUGGCAGAGUACUGUUUGCGGGUCUCUACAUACUGACACCUUGACGUGUCUGUAGUCUUUAGUAAUGUGUGAUAUGCAUAGAAGGAUACAGUAUAUAAAAAUUGAACUGGCAAAGAAGGAAGUGCCGCAAAGAGUUUGGAAGCAGUGCCCCAUGCAACACUUAAACUUGGUUGGCCGCAUACUUGAUACUUGCUUGUCUUGCCAUGUGCGGUGUUGAAAGGGGGAUUAAUAUGAACGCACACGGGGCCUUCUCUGCGCACGCGCCUCAGCUGAUGCCCAACGCCGACAGCCGGGGAACGC
This 2119-nucleotide long non-coding RNA is filed under the name Chlamydomonas reinhardtii. RNAcentral describes it as "long non-coding RNA (CREI_LNC001451)". Lineage: Eukaryota; Viridiplantae; Chlorophyta; Chlorophyceae; Chlamydomonadales; Chlamydomonadaceae. The record is from RNAcentral.